GCUCAGGGUGUCGAGGUUGUCGUGCACUGUUCGAGUUCAGCUGGUGGUGGCAGUUUUCUGUUGCUGCUGGUGCACUCUCUUAUGGUGUUUGACCGUCAGUUGGGAAGAGAUGGAGGUCUGUGCUGUCAGCAGUCGGGAGGUACGCCCUGUGCUUCCGUCAGGUGUACAGGGUGACGUACAGCCGUUCUGUUGUGGUCUCUGUCGUCUUUCAGGUGCGUUUGGAUGUCUGUUCGUCCAGAAAUGGAAGGUGCAGUCUCCCGAUGUGGGGGAUCGGGCCACCUGCUUGGUUGCUGUGCGUUGUAUCGCCGUGUUCCGUUCUCUCUCCGUUCUGUCUCUGGCAGUCGGGGCAGAGUGCGGCACGUCGUGCAAUCGUCACUGUCCCUUGCUAGUGUGUCUUGGAAU
This 402-nucleotide unclassified non-coding RNA is filed under the name Demospongiae sp. GW41373. Its description in RNAcentral is "sequence contains 28S rRNA gene". The record is from RNAcentral. Lineage: Eukaryota; Metazoa; Porifera; Demospongiae.